GAAGUUCCUGCAGGGUCGAAUUGGGAACACAUGAGAUGGAUGGUCCGCUGAGCUCUGAGCUCGAGCUCGGCCAUGUGUUCUCAGGUCGCCCCUGUUGGGUCUUC
This 104-nucleotide microRNA precursor is filed under the name Brachypodium distachyon (stiff brome). Its description in RNAcentral is "MIR398 microRNA precursor family". It matches the Rfam family "MIR398 microRNA precursor family". Lineage: Eukaryota; Viridiplantae; Streptophyta; Magnoliopsida; Poales; Poaceae. The record is from Rfam by way of RNAcentral.